CUUGUAGUGAGAUACCAAAUGGUGGUCUGAUUUUUUUUGUUGGAAAAAAAGGUAAAAAGGCGGAGGCAAGUGAUUUUUCGAAGAAAAUUCGGAAAUUAUGGGGCGAUGAAAGAGGCGGUAGACGGGGGAAAGAGAGAGAGGGAGAGAGUGGAAGACAUUUGUUUAUAGGUUUUUUGAAGUGAAACGAUUCAGAACACACUCAAUGUACGGUCAAAGAAUUGUAAC
This is a non-coding RNA of Caenorhabditis elegans, 225 nucleotides long. The record is from Ensembl. Lineage: Eukaryota; Metazoa; Nematoda; Chromadorea; Rhabditida; Rhabditidae.